UGGCGAACGGGUGAGUAAUAUAUCGGAACGUGCCCAGUCGUGGGGGAUAACGUAGAGAAAUUUACGCUAAUACCGCAUACGAUCUAAGGAUGAAAGCGGGGGAUUCGCAAGAACCUCGCGCGAUUGGAGCGGCUGAUAUCAGAUUAGGUUGUUGGUGAGGUAAAAGCUCACCAAGCCGACGAUCUGUAGCUGGUUUGAGAGAACGACCAGCCACACUGGGACUGAGACACGGCCCAGACUCCUACGGGAGGCAGCAGUGGGGAAUUUUGGACAAUGGGCGAAAGCCUGAUCCAGCAAUGCCGCGUGCAGGAAGAAGGCCUUCGGGUUGUAAACUGCUUUUGUACGGAACGAAACGGUCUGCCUUAAUACGGUGGGCUAAUGACGGUACCGUAAGAAUAAGCACCGGCUAACUACGUGCCAGCAGCCGCGGUAAUACGUAGGGUGCGAGCGUUAAUCGGAAUUACUGGGCGUAAAGCGUGCGCAGGCGGUUAUAUAAGACAGUUGUGAAAUCCCCGGGCUCAACCUGGGAAUUGCAUCUGUGAC
RNAcentral lists this ribosomal RNA (543 nucleotides) under uncultured Polaromonas sp. RNAcentral's name for it is "bacterial SSU rRNA". It matches the Rfam family "Bacterial small subunit ribosomal RNA", at positions 96 to 633 of the family's 1533-position model. Lineage: Bacteria; Pseudomonadati; Pseudomonadota; Betaproteobacteria; Burkholderiales; Comamonadaceae. The record is from RNAcentral.